Molecule: small RNA, 504 nt
Filed under: Pongo abelii (Sumatran orangutan)
Lineage: Eukaryota; Metazoa; Chordata; Mammalia; Primates; Hominidae
Description: processed transcript
Source: RNAcentral
AGUUUGAGGUUGCAACUUGUCCUCUCCUCUGAGGGUAGCCGCAAAUUAGUCCAGCAAAUUAGAGAACAGUGAACAGUAAUCAUCCAGUUGAAUAAACUAUAAUCUAAGUACAAGCUGACAGUUUUGAAAAAUGCAUGUUUUUUUAUUGUACCAGAUUGGCGGUGAUUUAUUAAAUGAUAUUACUAAAAUCACUCAUGGGCUACAUACAUGUUUUGAAUAAGUCUGCUUAGCUGUCAGGAUUAAUUAGAGUCAGUUUCUGGUUUUGCUCAAAUUAUCCAUUUCCAGCUCAUGACUUACCCCCAGUUCAGAUGGACCAGCUUUUGGGAAAUAUGAUUGAAAUGUGGGUUGAUCGAAUGGACAACAUUACCCAGCCUGAAAGAAGAAAACUUUCAGCUUUGGCUUUGCUCUCUCUUCUGCCAUCUGAUAAUAGUGUUAUCCAAGAUAAAUUCUGUGGGAUUAUAAACAUUUCAGUGGAAGGCCUGCAUGAUGUCAUGACGGAAGAUC